This 496-nucleotide ribosomal RNA is filed under the name uncultured bacterium. RNAcentral describes it as "partial 16S ribosomal RNA". It matches the Rfam family "Bacterial small subunit ribosomal RNA", at positions 29 to 507 of the family's 1533-position model. The record is from RNAcentral.
AUGCACGCUGGCGGCGUGCCUAAUCCCUGCCAUUCGAGCGAACAGACGAGGAGCUUGCUCCUCUUACGUUAUCGGCGUCCGGUUUAGUAACACGUUGAUAACCUACCUAUAAGACUUUGAUAACUUCGUUAAACCGUAGCUAAUUCCGGAUAAUAUAUUUAACCGCAUUUUUCAAUAUUUAAAGUCGGUUUUUCUUUCACUUAUAUUUGUAUCCGCGCCUCAUUAGCUAGUUGGUAAGGUAACGGCUUAACAAGGCAACGAUGCGUAGACGACCUGAGAGGGUGAUCGGCAACACUGGAACUGAGACACGGUCCAGACGACUACGGGAGGCAGCAGUAGGGAAUAUUCCGAAAUGGGCGAAAGCAUGACGGAGCAAAGCCGAGUGAGUGAUGAAGGUAUUCGGAUAGUAAAACUCUGUUAUUAGGGAAGAACAAAUGUGUAAGUAAAUAUGCACGUCUUGACGGUAACUAAUCAGAAAGACACGGAUAACUACGUG